This is a small nuclear RNA of Suncus etruscus (white-toothed pygmy shrew), 107 nucleotides long. The record is from RefSeq and is a predicted model, not a curated record. NCBI's taxonomy places the organism in Eukaryota, Metazoa, Chordata, Mammalia, Eulipotyphla, Soricidae.
GUGCUUGCUUCGGCAGCACAUAUACUAAAAUUGGAACGAUACAGAGAAGCUUAGCAUGGCCCCUGCACAAGGAUGACACGCAAAUUUUUGAAGCGUUCCAUAUUUAA